AUUGAACGCUGGCGGCAUGCCUAACACAUGCAAGUCGAACGGUUUUGGAGCUUGCUCCAAGAUAGUGGCGGACGGGUGAGUAACGCGUAGGAAUCUGCCUUGUAGAGGGGGACAACCCGGGGAAACUCGGGCUAAUACCGCAUAAUAAUCGAGAGAUGAAAGGGUGGGACCUUAGGGCCACUCGCUAUAAGAUGAGCCUGCGUUGGAUUAGCUAGUUGGUGGGGUAAAGGCCUACCAAGGCGACGAUCCAUAACUGGUCUGAGAGGAUGACCAGUCACACUGGGACUGAGACACGGCCCAGACUCCUACGGGAGGCAGCAGUGGGGAAUAUUGGACAAUGGGGGCAACCCUGAUCCAGCAAUGCCGCGUGUGUGAAGAAGGCCUGCGGGUUGUAAAGCACUUUUAGCGAUGAGGAAGAGGUUAAGUCGAAUAGGCUUAGCUUUUGACGUUAGUCGCAGAAAAAGCACCGGCUAACUCUGUGCCAGCCGCCGCCGUAA
Molecule: ribosomal RNA, 497 nt
Filed under: uncultured bacterium
Lineage: Bacteria
Description: partial 16S ribosomal RNA
Rfam family: Bacterial small subunit ribosomal RNA
Source: RNAcentral